Molecule: ribosomal RNA, 253 nt
Filed under: uncultured bacterium
Lineage: Bacteria
Description: partial 16S ribosomal RNA
Rfam family: Bacterial small subunit ribosomal RNA
Source: RNAcentral
UACAGAGGUGACUAACGUUGUCCGGAAUUAUUGGGCGUAAAGGGCGCGUAGGUGGUCAGGUAAGUCAGGUGUGAAAGCUCUGGGCUUAACCCAGGAAUUGCAUCUGAUACUGCUUGGCUUGAGUACGGUAGAGGAGGGUGGAAUUCCCAGUGUAGCGGUGAAAUGCGUAGAUAUCAGGAGGAACACCGGUGGCGAAGGCGCACAUCUGGCCCGAUACUGACGCUGAGGCGCGAAAGCUAGGGGAGCAAACGGG